GUACAACUUAUUUCAUGUUAUAUUUUUUAAAACAAUAUAUACCAAGACUCAAUUUCACGUCAUUUUAUUUCUUUACAUCAACCCAACGUGAUACAUACUUUUAUUUCAAGAAGGAAAAAUGAUAUUAUUGUCAUGUAUUAUUUAUAUCAAACAUGUAUAUCAUGUAUAAUUAUAACUUUAUACAAGAUCAAUAUUUAUAUAUGACCAAAACUUUCCUAUAGCAUAAAAUAAAUUAUGACACAAAAUCACAAACAAUAUUUCAAU
This 264-nucleotide long non-coding RNA is filed under the name Trifolium pratense (red clover). Its description in RNAcentral is "long non-coding RNA (TPRA_LNC007530)". Lineage: Eukaryota; Viridiplantae; Streptophyta; Magnoliopsida; Fabales; Fabaceae. The record is from RNAcentral.